CAAACGCUGACUAAGCAUGUAGCUGCCUUAAGCUGAAGCUUGCUCGGACGCGGGUUCGAUUCCCGCCACCUCCAUUU
This 77-nucleotide transfer-messenger RNA is filed under the name Flexistipes sinusarabici. RNAcentral's name for it is "partial transfer-messenger RNA". It matches the Rfam family "transfer-messenger RNA", at positions 296 to 374 of the family's 374-position model. Rfam says of the family: Bacterial tmRNA, also known as 10Sa RNA or SsrA, is named for its dual tRNA and mRNA-like properties. Its role is to liberate the mRNA from a stalled ribosome. Lineage: Bacteria; Pseudomonadati; Deferribacterota; Deferribacteres; Deferribacterales; Flexistipitaceae. The record is from RNAcentral.